Molecule: ribosomal RNA, 1399 nt
Filed under: metagenome
Description: bacterial SSU rRNA
Rfam family: Bacterial small subunit ribosomal RNA
Source: RNAcentral
GCGGGGGAGUAAUGUCUGGGAAACUGCCUGAUGGAGGGGGAUAACUACUGGAAACGGUAGCUAAUACCGCAUAACGUCGCAAGACCAAAGAGGGGGACCCUCGGGCCUCUUGCCAUCGGAUGUGCCCAGAUGGGAUUAGCUUGUUGGUGGGGUAACGGCUCACCAAGGCGACGAUCCCUAGCUGGUCUGAGAGGAUGACCAGCCACACUGGAACUGAGACACGGUCCAGACUCCUACGGGAGGCAGCAGUGGGGAAUAUUGCACAAUGGGCGCAAGCCUGAUGCAGCCAUGCCGCGUGUAUGAAGAAGGCCUUCGGGUUGUAAAGUACUUUCAGCGGGGAGGAAGGGAGUAAAGUUAAUACCUUUGCUCAUUGACGUUACCCGCAGAAGAAGCACCGGCUAACUCCGUGCCAGCAGCCGCGGUAAUACGGAGGGUGCAAGCGUUAAUCGGAAUUACUGGGCGUAAAGCGCACGCAGGCGGUUUGUUAAGUCAGAUGUGAAAUCCCCGGGCUCAACCUGGGAACUGCAUCUGAUACUGGCAAGCUUGAGUCUCGUAGAGGGGGGUAGAAUUCCAGGUGUAGCGGUGAAAUGCGUAGAGAUCUGGAGGAAUACCGGUGGCGAAGGCGGCCCCCUGGACGAAGACUGACGCUCAGGUGCGAAAGCGUGGGGAGCAAACAGGAUUAGAUACCCUGGUAGUCCACGCCGUAAACGAUGUCGACUUGGAGGUUGUGCCCUUGAGGCGUGGCUUCCGGAGCUAACGCGUUAAGUCGACCGCCUGGGGAGUACGGCCGCAAGGUUAAAACUCAAAUGAAUUGACGGGGGCCCGCACAAGCGGUGGAGCAUGUGGUUUAAUUCGAUGCAACGCGAAGAACCUUACCUGGUCUUGACAUCCACGGAAGUUUUCAGAGAUGAGAAUGUGCCUUCGGGAACCGUGAGACAGGUGCUGCAUGGCUGUCGCCAGCUCGUGUUGUGAAAUGUUGGGUUAAGUCCCGCAACGAGCGCAACCCUUAUCCUUUGUUGCCAGCGGUCCGGCCGGGAACUCAAAGGAGACUGCCAGUGAUAAACUGGAGGAAGGUGGGGAUGACGUCAAGUCAUCAUGGCCCUUACGACCAGGGCUACACACGUGCUACAAUGGCGCAUACAAAGAGAAGCGACCUCGCGAGAGCAAGCGGACCUCAUAAAGUGCGUCGUAGUCCGGAUUGGAGUCUGCAACUCGACUCCAUGAAGUCGGAAUCGCUAGUAAUCGUGGAUCAGAAUGCCACGGUGAAUACGUUCCCGGGCCUUGUACACACCGCCCGUCACACCAUGGGAGUGGGUUGCAAAAGAAGUAGGUAGCUUAACCUUCGGGAGGGCGCUUACCACUUUGUGAUUCAUGACUGGGGUGAAGUCGUAACAAGGUA